UCAGGCUGCAAUUCUGAACACGGUGCUUUGGUCAGAGAACCUGGGCAGAAGAACCUGCAGGUCUGGAUAGACUUCCCUGCAGAGGUCUGGAAGAAGUGCUGGUAGGGACCAAACUCGGGUGCAGCGCCGUGUGAACCCAGCCCUACUGCAUCCAGGUGUAGUACAGCCUGGAGAACAGGAGGCUGAGCCGUCUGCAACUGCCUGAAAGGAGGUUGGAGCAUGGAGGAUGUUCAUCUCUCCUCUCAAGCAAAAUUUUGCACAGCGUGACUUUGGAAAGCUGAAGACUUAAAACUCAUCUAACACCUACAUUAAAUCUCCAGGUACACUUCCAACACACAAGGUAACGACCAUAGAGUCACUGGUACCUCUUCCAUAGCGCUGAUGAGGUUCUGAGUGGACUUGCUGAUCUCUCCACCCGCCGCCGGCAGACCACUGCCAUGCGUGAAAAAAGCCGAUCCUGGAGCUGCGUGCCCGUUCAUGUCUACAGUGUAACUUGCUUUGACAGGGCAGCAAAGUUGGUUGUGCAGGAUGAAAUACACCACAAAGACAUAAAGACCCUGAAACAGAAGAAAAGCGUAGAUCAGAGUUUGAAGGUGGUCAUGGCAAAGUCCUACAUGAUGCCUUCCCUUCACCAGCAGUUCGUGCCUCAAAGGGCUGCAGCGCAUUUCUAUGAAAAACAAGAGAUGAUGCCACUGACCAUCAGAGACCUGGAAGUUCAUAUCCUGAGCUCAUAUCCUGAGGCCCACAUCUAAACACACAAACACACAAAACCCAACCCAAAAGAGUUAUUGAAAAUGAUUAUUUGGUUGAACCCACACGGUUGCAAAGCAAAGCCAAGAUCUGAACAAUAAUAAAACCAACUUGAGUUUCA
Columba livia (rock pigeon) is the source of this 871-nucleotide long non-coding RNA. RefSeq lists it as uncharacterized. The record is from RefSeq and is a predicted model, not a curated record. The transcript is spliced from 4 exons. NCBI's taxonomy places the organism in Eukaryota, Metazoa, Chordata, Aves, Columbiformes, Columbidae.